UACGAAGGGGGCAAGCGUUGUUCGGAAUUACUGGGCGUAAAGGGCGCGUAGACGGCUUAUCAAGUCAGGCGUGAAAUUCCCGGGCUCAACCUGGGGGCUGCGCUUGAUACUGAUGAGCUUGAAUGCGGGAGAGGAUAGUGGAAUUCCCAGUGUAGAGGUGAAAUUCGUAGAUAUUGGGAAGAACACCGGUGGCGAAGGCGGCUAUCUGGCCCGUAAUUGACGCUGAGGCGCGAAAGCGUGGGGAGCAAACAGG
RNAcentral lists this ribosomal RNA (253 nucleotides) under uncultured bacterium. RNAcentral's name for it is "partial 16S ribosomal RNA". It matches the Rfam family "Bacterial small subunit ribosomal RNA", at positions 524 to 776 of the family's 1533-position model. The record is from RNAcentral.